GAUGAACGCUGGCGGCGUGCCUAAUACAUGCAAGUCGAGCGAACGGACGAGAAGCUUGCUUCUCUGAUGUUAGCGGCGGACGGGUGAGUAACACGUGGAUAACCUACCUAUAAGACUGGGAUAACUUCGGGAAACCGGAGCUAAUACCGGAUAAUAUUUUGAACCGCAUGGUUCAAAAGUGAAAGACGGUCUUGCUGUCACUUAUAGAUGGAUCCGCGCUGCAUUAGCUAGUUGGUAAGGUAACGGCUUACCAAGGCAACGAUGCAUAGCCGACCUGAAAGGGUGAUCGGCCACACUGGAACUGAGACACGGUCCAGACUCCUACGGGAGGCAGCAGUAGGGAAUCUUCCGCAAAGGGCGAAAGCCUGACGGAGCAACGCCGCGUGAGUGAUGAAGGUCUUCGGAUCGUAAAACUCUGUUAUUAGGGAAGAACAUAUGUGUAAGUAACUGUGCACAUCUUGACGGUACCUAAUCAGAAAGCCACGGCUAACUACGUG
This 497-nucleotide ribosomal RNA is filed under the name uncultured bacterium. RNAcentral's name for it is "partial 16S ribosomal RNA". It matches the Rfam family "Bacterial small subunit ribosomal RNA", at positions 28 to 507 of the family's 1533-position model. The record is from RNAcentral.